GUCAUGACAAAGCAGAUUUGCAGAAAAUCACGAGAUAGUUGGAUUCGCGAAAUAGUUUAAUUUGUUAUAAAACUUUAAUUUGUAAUAUUAUUACCACGUACCCUUAAUAUUUCGGAUUCACUGCAAGCAAGAACUUAGAUUGUGCUCAAUUCUAUUUGGUAUAGACCUACAAAACCCUUGUUAAACAGUAACUAGGCAAUCAGUGGAUCAAUUUGAAGGUGC
Armigeres subalbatus is the source of this 222-nucleotide long non-coding RNA. RefSeq lists it as uncharacterized. NCBI's taxonomy places the organism in Eukaryota, Metazoa, Arthropoda, Insecta, Diptera, Culicidae. The record is from RefSeq and is a predicted model, not a curated record. The transcript has 3 exons.